GUGAGGAAUUUUCCGCAAUGGGCGAAAGCCUGACGGAGCAAUGCCGCGUGAAGGAUGAAGGCCUAUGGGUUGUAAACUUCUUUUCUCAGAAAAGAAUUAUGACGGUAUCUGAGGAAUAAGCAUCGGCUAACUCUGUGCCAGCAGCCGCGGUAAGACAGAGGAUGCAAGCGUUAUCCGGAAUGAUUGGGCGUAAAGCGUCUGUAGGUUGUUUAAAAAGUAUUCUGUCAAAGAUUAGGGCUUAACCCUAGAUAGGCAGAAUAAACUUUUAAGCUAGAGUUUGGUAGAGGCAGAGGGAAUUCCCGGUGGAGCGGUGAAAUGCGUAGAUAUCGGGAGGAACACCAAAGGCGAAGGCACUCUGCUGGGCCAAUACUAACACUGAGAGACGAAGGCGAGGGGAGCAAAUGGGAUUAGAAACCCGAGUAGUCC
This 426-nucleotide ribosomal RNA is filed under the name uncultured bacterium. RNAcentral's name for it is "partial 16S ribosomal RNA". It matches the Rfam family "Bacterial small subunit ribosomal RNA", at positions 354 to 796 of the family's 1533-position model. The record is from RNAcentral.